Molecule: long non-coding RNA, 611 nt
Filed under: Monodelphis domestica (gray short-tailed opossum)
Lineage: Eukaryota; Metazoa; Chordata; Mammalia; Didelphimorphia; Didelphidae
Description: lncRNA (ENSMODG00000044947.1)
Source: RNAcentral
UUCAAGCAAGUCCCUCCCACACCACCAUUGAGUGGUCAUCUUGGGCUGGAGUGUCUACAGAGACUUGCAAAGAGACUUCUGUGAUGAAAUGAGUUGAGGACCUGGCUACUGGAGACAUCCAGAUAACUGACCAGAGCUUCUACUUCCUGCUUCAUGGACUUUUGAUUCACCUUGAAGCAAUCUGUCAAAGCUUGGCAUUGCUAUCUGGGGAACCGCCCUCAUGCUGUCCAACACUGAAACUUGAGAGCCUGUGGACUUCUCACAUGACCCUUCCACAUCACAGGCUGAGGAGGACUUCCACACUGACUGACCUAGGGCUCUGGGCUCCCUCUCCUUGCAAGCACCAGACAUUAGGCCUAUGUCUGCCUGGGCACUGCUGGAGGGCUCCAUCUCCCUAGUUGUCCAAGUCUGGACCUGCUGGGCUGGCUUGAGGACGUCCUCUGGCCUUGACUCUUCUUCCUGAGGCUGCUCUGCUGUCCAGCUUUUGUAGAGUUCUUCUAGCAGGAACUUAUACUCUUCUGGAGACAGGAGACAAUCCUCUUCCCCUUGAGCCUGGCUGCCUGAACCCUCUGUUCCUCCUGCUUGGAUUUCUGGGACAUGCCUCUCAGGGU